UUAAAGGAAUUGACGGAAGGGCGCCACCAGGAGUGGAGCCUGCGGCUUAAUUUGACUCAACACGGGAAAACUUACCCGGCCCGGACACCGGAAGGAUUGACAGAUUGAUAGCUCUUUCUUGAUUCGGUGGAUGGUGGUGCAUGGCCGUUCUUAGUUGGUGGAGCGAUUUGUCUAGUUAAUUCCGAUAACGAACGAGACUCUAGCCUGCUAAAUAGACCCACGGUCCUUUGUACCGUGAGCGGGUCUUCUUAGAGGGACAGGCGGCGCUUAGCCGCACGAGACAGAGCAAUAACAGGUCUGUGAUGCCCUUAGAUGUCCGGGGCCGCACGCGCGCUACACUGAAGGAAUCAGCGCGUGCUUACCCUGGGCCGAAAGGACUGGGUAACCGCCUGAACCUCCUUCGUGAUGGGGAUAGGGGAUUGUAAUUAUUCCCCUCGAACGAGGAAUUCCCAGUAAGCGCGAGUCAUCAGCUCGCGUUGAUUACGUCCCUGCCCUUUGKGCACACCGCCCGUCGCCACUACUGAUUGAAUGAUUUAGUGAGGUCUUCGGACUGGAGCGGGUCGCGACUCCGGGCGCUCCGCGCCGGGAAGACGAUCGAACUUGGUCAUUUAGAAGAAGAGAAAGUCGUAACAAGGUUUCC
This 640-nucleotide ribosomal RNA is filed under the name Nesidiochernes sp. JM-2008. Its description in RNAcentral is "SSU rRNA". It matches the Rfam family "Eukaryotic small subunit ribosomal RNA", at positions 1155 to 1824 of the family's 1831-position model. The record is from RNAcentral. Lineage: Eukaryota; Metazoa; Arthropoda; Arachnida; Pseudoscorpiones; Chernetidae.